CCUACGGGGGGCAGCAGUGAGGAAUAUUGGUCAAUGGACGAGAGUCUGAACCAGCCAAGUAGCGUGAAGGAUGACUGCCCUAUGGGUUGUAAACUUCUUUUAUAUGGGAAUAAAAUGUUCCACGUGUGGGAUGUUGUAUGUACCAUAUGAAUAAGGAUCGGCUAACUCCGUGCCAGCAGCCGCGGUAAUACGGAGGAUCCGAGCGUUAUCCGGAUUUAGUGGGUUUAAAGGGUGCGUAGGUGGAUUGUUAAGUCAGUUGUGAAAGUUUGCGGCUCAACCGUAAAACUGCAGUUGAAACUGGUAGUCUUGAGUACAGUAGAGGUGGGCGGAAUUCGUGGUGUAGCGGUGAAAUGCUUAGAUAUCACGAAGAACUCCGAUUGCGAAGGCAGUUCACUGGACUGCAACUGACACUGAGGCUCGAAAGUGUGGGUAUCAAACAUGAUUAGAUACCCCUGUAGUC
RNAcentral lists this ribosomal RNA (460 nucleotides) under uncultured bacterium. Its description in RNAcentral is "partial 16S ribosomal RNA". It matches the Rfam family "Bacterial small subunit ribosomal RNA", at positions 338 to 795 of the family's 1533-position model. The record is from RNAcentral.